This is a long non-coding RNA of Equus caballus (horse), 2573 nucleotides long. NCBI's taxonomy places the organism in Eukaryota, Metazoa, Chordata, Mammalia, Perissodactyla, Equidae. The record is from Ensembl.
CUCCUUCCUCCUGAAACUACUCAUUAUCCACGCCUCUCUUCCCCCCCCCGGAGACUUCCGACCACCUCCUUCCUCCUGGGUCUGAUGGGCAUUGUCUCUUUAUGUUGUAGAUGUGUGUUCAUCCCACCCUCUAGGCUGGGAGCUCUGCCAGGUGAGGGCCGAUGACUGUCUUAUUCUCAGGUUCCCACUAUCAACUACAGUGUUUGGCAUGCAGAAGCUCAAUAAAUGUUUGUUUCAAUGAAAUGGAAACAGAGCUAUUUAGGGCAUGCUGGUAAUGGAAAUAACCCAGCUUGAAAGAUGCUCUGCGCUAGGUUGCAACCACAGGCAGUUCCAGGCUUACUUAGAAGCCCUGAAUUUACCAUCAGCUUCUAGCCAGGGCUACUAGUUACUGGCUGCUCUGGAGGCCACCCCAUGAUUGCCAUGGGAACCAGCCACUCACAAAGCCUCUGGGGCCCCUGCUCUCUGUGAGCCUUCUCAGAUGCUGCCUUGGGAACUGCACAGGUGCUGGCACCUCCAGCCAGUCAACUCCUUAGAGUGACCUUGGGCCAGAAGAUGGGGGCAGGGCCUCAGUGGGGACAGAACCACCCCACCUACAGCUGCUUUUAUAAAUGGAGAAAUGCAUUCAAAGUUCCAAAGCAACCAGCCAGUAAGUGGACUACUGAAGCUCCUGUGAGAUGAAGUGGCUUCACUCUUGGCAGCUAGAAUAAGAAAGGCAAGAGCCAAGAACCAGGAGUGGCCAUGUGGCUACCCAAGGGAUCUGAGAGGAAGCAACGUGGGCCACUUCCAGGCCUGGUCUCAAAAAUCUCCCAUGCAUGCCUGCAUGCGCUCAUCCUCUUCUGGCUGGCUGGAAUGACGGUGACCCUGGGCAACUUUGGAAGUAACUAGCGAUCUGGUGAUGAUGGCAGAGUCUCUGCCAGUCCAAGACCCUGAAGGACUGUGCAGAAGAGAGAUGCCCCCCGCCAACCUCUGCCCCUGUCCAGAAGUAUUAUCUGGACAAGAAAAUAAAUGUCUGCGGUGAUUGCACACUGUUACAAGAGGUCUGUUAGUUACAAGAAGUAGCCUUCCCUAACUGAUACAACGGGACAGUCCUAUCUAGCUUUCAGCUUCCCUGUGCCACCCUCCACAAGUCAGGACUAGUUCUAGGGCAACUGAAUUGUGUAGGCUGAGGUGGACAGGUCCAGAGGUGCUGGGAUCAGAGCUGUUCUGUUCAUCACAACAGCUGCUUCCUGUGUUCUGGAAGCCUUCCAAGAAGGUGGCUCCAAGACAGAGCAUGAAUUGUUCACACGAUAUGUUCCCAGGGAGAUUAUGGAUUUGCUGCAUGGUGUCUGAGGAAAUACGACAUCCACGGAAGCCUCUGCCACAUCCAAAGAAGGAAUUAAUCCAUCAGUACUCAUUGAGUGUCUACUAUAGUCACAGCACUCUGCUCCUGGUUGAAAAUAUACAAGAGAAAGAUUAAAAGACCCAGUUCAAUACGUCUGUCUGCGGAAGGGGAAAUGAAGCAUCUGCUUGGUGCCUCCAUUAGGAAGAUGACUUACGACAGGCAGCUGUCAGGCAAGGCGUCUGCAUUCUGACGGAGCCGGCUAGACCAUGGAGCUGAAAGCCUUCAAGAAGCCAAUGAAAGUCCCAGAACCUUAGCCCAGCCCUUCCCCACCCGCUCCCCCAGAAGCAACGUGAACAUGGGUGCCCACAUACACACAACUGUGAGAAUAAUUUCAGCGUUUUCGAGCUUCCUCACCCCCAAGGUCCAGACCCGGAUGCCACAUCUAUCAGUUCUGAGCUGUGUGAUGUGGGUGGAAUUACUCGCUGUCCUCCUUUGUAAGAUGGGCAUGCACGAACCACACCCAGCUCAUGGGUUUGUUCUGAAGAUGACAUGAGCAGCUGGAGCUGGAGCCCUGGGCACGGCACCUUGCCCAUACUGGGAGCUGGUCAUUAUUAGCUGGUAUUCUCAUGCCCAGGCCAGGAGUUUAAGAUUCCCCAGUCAAAGAGAAUAAUAUAGGUACUUUACAGUUGAUCAGUGCCAAUUUUUCUUUGAAAUCUACCUUACAGGUUUUCUGGAGUAAUGGUUCAGAGUAUGGAUUUACUUUAUAAUAUCGAUAAUUUACUUUAAAAUGGUUUGACUUUGAGCAAGGGAACACUGAGUUUGUAUUAGCUGGAGCCUCCAGGGUGGUCAGCUGGUGUUAUAUCACAAAGACGUCAGGUCUUCAGAUCACUGAGGCUUUGAAAAUUAACAUCGUGAGCGUCAGAAGUGAGUUUUACUGGUGAAAUGAGAGGCUUGCUAGUCUACAUGAUGAAUAUCGGACAUAGGCUCUCGAUGGCAAAAUCAAAGGUAUUCGAGUGUGGAGGGCUGGGUAAACAUUGUAAAGGCGCUCCCCACGUGUGCAUGAGGCGCUGUAGGAAUCCAGUGAGGCCUGUGGCCAUGGCCACAGGGACGGCACCGAAUGUUGCUGUUGCUUCUGUGAACUUUUCAGACAAGAGGUAGACCCAUCAAGCUCACAGCCGUGUGAACUGUCCUGGGCUUGCUUUCUCAAGGAAUGUUGGCUUAAUAAAAGGCCUGUGUUUGUGGCCGAACUUGG